Leucoraja erinaceus (little skate) is the source of this 2098-nucleotide long non-coding RNA. RefSeq lists it as uncharacterized. Lineage: Eukaryota; Metazoa; Chordata; Chondrichthyes; Rajiformes; Rajidae. The transcript is spliced from 3 exons. The record is from RefSeq and is a predicted model, not a curated record.
UGGACCCUUACACUGAUGCAAUCAUGAACUUCUACAGGUGGAGAGCAUAUUAACUGGUUGCAUCACAGCCUGGUUCAGUGACUCAAAUGCCCAGGAAGAAAGAAGACUGCAAAAAGUGGUGAACACUGCCCAGUCCAUCACAGAUUAUGACCACCCCACCAUCGAUGGGAUUUACCAGUCGCUGCCUCAAAAAGGCAGCCAGCAUCAUCAGAGACCCACACCAUCCAACUCACACACUCAUUUCACCCCUGCCAUUGGGAAGAAGGUACAGAAGCCUGAAAACUGUAAUGUCCAUGUUCAGGAACAGUUUUGUCCCUGCAACCAUCAGGCUAUUAAACAAUACAACCUCCAAAUAGGCUUCAAACCAUAGAUUGGGAGUAUUACUUUUUUACUUUGCACUAUUAUUGCCUAUUUACUUGUCUGUUUUGUGUACAUAUACUGAAGUUAUGGGUUUAUUAUGGGUUUUACAGAGUACUCUGCGGUGCCACGGCAAGUACGAAUUCCAUUGUUCUGUUUUGUGACAUAGGACAAUAAAAUGCUCUGGCCCUUGAGCAGGACAGGGUUCCCUCACCCCACCACCCCAAUGGCCCAGACCUCCCAUUUAGCUCUUAAAUUCUGAAUGUGGGAACCAGCAGCAGAGGCAGGGAUUUUUCUUAACCCCCCAGCUGCAUUGGACAAGGAGCUGCGGAGCGGCCUUCUUGCGCCGCGGUGCUCCAUGUGGUGACGGAGGUCUCACUGGGCUCUCAGUGUCAGGGCACCACGGUUUUGACCCAGUGAUGUAAAUUGGGGGGAAAUCCCUAACUCAGUUAUAGCGGACAAUCAGCAAAAACAGAACACAUCCCACACUCAAUGUGGUCUACUAUAGUAAAGGUUCACUAUGGUAAUACAAAAACACUGAAUUGUCCCUUAAUGAUUUAUUUGAUGUUUCCUUGCCGUAGAGCGGAUGGGAUAUUGCACUAAAUCUCUGUAUAAAAUGAGGUGGUUGUUUCAAAUGACCGGGGAACAAGAUUUCGAUGUUGAAUGUCCUAAAAUAUUUAGAUAUUGAAUGCUCAUUUGCAAUGAAUAGCCUGCAUUGUUACAAACUUAGCCUUGUUGGACUGUAAUUAGUAAGGUUGCCUUGAAUGAGGAUGAUCCAAAAGAUUUAAUAGACUGUAUUCAGUUCCAUGUGAUUCUUCCAAGCCAAUUCUGCCUAAAUCAGCAUGAAGUCUAAUCUUUCCCUUAUCCAUUUGGGUUCCAAUCUGAGACUCACAAGAUGAAAUAUGAUCAAAAUGCCUCUAUCUUAAAACUGAAAAGGACUUAAUUUCUGAAUGGCACCAUCAAACUGGCUUACUCCAGAAUGCAUUUUAUUUUCAACCAGAAUGGAUUUACAAUUCACUGUGACAUUUAUGCGCUCUUUGUGAAGAGCCCCAUUGCUGUGAGCACUCAACCCUGCCAAUGGCAGUAGGAAGGCUUUGUGGAAGCAAUAGGCAAAUGAAUAUAAAUUGAAGGGUGUUUGGGACUAAAGAAUGGACACAUAACAUGGCUGAAAAUAAUUAUUUUGUAUUCAAGGGAAGCUCGACUUAUCAGGAAUUCACUGCAUAUGUAUAUUUUUCUCUGAUGUGAAUCCUUAAUUAUAUUUAAUAUUUGUAAAAUACAAAUCUAUCUUUCAGCUCCAUGUGGAAGUCGAUCCACAGGUUUGGAUGGUACAGUGCUGUCUCCAAACUAUCCUAGAAAUUAUAGUACUGGACACAAUUGUGUUUAUUCCAUCACAGUCUCCAGAGAGUUUGUGGUGUUUGGCCAGUUUGUGUUUUUCCAGACUUCCCUUCAUGAUGUCGUUGACAUAUUCGAUGGACCCACUCAGCAAGCUUUACUUUUGACUUCGCUGUCAGGGUCUCACUCAGGAGAGUCCCUUCCGUUAAGUUCGGGUAACCAGAUCACAAUCAAGUUUACUUCCGUGGGUGUAAUAACAGCCAAAGGAUUUCAUUUUGUUUAUCAAGGUAGGUUGACAAUUGAAGUUUAAUAAAAGCUCUCACAAUUGAAUUCCAAAGUAGUUGUUUGAUAAACAUGAUUAUUACCGUUAAUCAUACUACAAUUGAUUAUAAAUCAAAAGACACGGCAA